GCUGCAGCAAGCCCCCAAACGUGUGUCAGUCACGAGUCUGCGCCUCCGGCUGUUGCUCGAGUCCACAAAAAGCAAGAGCUUCUCCUACACAAAGUUCAGCUGUCCCUGCAUCUGCUGCCUCCACGCUGGGCCCUGAGGCGCAGGUAUCAUUGUUUUAGACCAUGGACAAACAUCCAUAUUUUCUUGAUGUAGUCAAGACAGCACUGGAUUUGGAAUCAGAAGACCUGGUAUUUGAUUUCAAACUAAGCAACUAUGUUUUUAGAUCCAUAGUCCUGGCAGCCAUGGUGUUAGGAAUAUUGCACGUGGAAGUGACUCAACUGCUUUAGGUGACCCCAGGAAAUCUUGCAUGACCUAACAACUGAAGAACUUCCUAGAGGAAUCACUGAUUCACUCUUUAUGGUGCCAUCCCUAAAGUGGAGAUUUCUACACCUGUGUGUCCUAGACUCGGACGCCUCAUCUGCAGCGGAGCACAAACAGCGAGCCCAGCCGCUUAGGGCUCACCUCACCCGCCUACCCGGAUGCUGCCAACCCGGUCAACCAAAUUCAGAGAUUGCUUUCCCACUAUGGCAUGGAUCAUAGACUUUUGGCUUGAACGCACUUAACUCCUUUCCUUCCCAUUUCCUUUGAACUACUAUCUUUCAUUUUUCUAGUCUGUUGCUGGAUUGGAUUCAAUAAAAUGUUUCCAUUCAA
This is a long non-coding RNA of Felis catus (domestic cat), 690 nucleotides long. RefSeq lists it as uncharacterized. Lineage: Eukaryota; Metazoa; Chordata; Mammalia; Carnivora; Felidae. The record is from RefSeq and is a predicted model, not a curated record. The transcript is spliced from 5 exons.